Molecule: microRNA, 21 nt
Filed under: Columba livia (rock pigeon)
Lineage: Eukaryota; Metazoa; Chordata; Aves; Columbiformes; Columbidae
Description: cli-miR-10c-5p
Gene: cli-miR-10c-5p
Source: miRBase by way of RNAcentral
UACCCUGUAGACUCGAAUUUG